Molecule: ribosomal RNA, 497 nt
Filed under: uncultured bacterium
Lineage: Bacteria
Description: partial 16S ribosomal RNA
Rfam family: Bacterial small subunit ribosomal RNA
Source: RNAcentral
GAUGAACGCUGGCGGCGUGCCUAAUACAUGCAAGUCGAGCGAACAGACGAGGAGCUUGCCCCUCUGACGUUAGCGGCGGACGGGUGAGUAACACGUGGAUAACCUACCUAUAAGACUGGGAUAACUUCGGGAAACCGGAGCUAAUACCGGAUAAUAUAUUGAACCGCAUGGUUCAAUAGUGAAAGACGGUUUUGCUGUCACUUAUAGAUGGAUCCGCGCCGCAUUAGCUAGUUGGUAAGGUAACGGCUUGCCAAGGCAACGAUGCGUAGCCGACCUGAGAGGGUGAUCGGCCACACUGGAACUGAGACACGGUCCAGACUCCUACGGGAGGCAGCAGUAGGGAAUCUUCCGCAAUGGGCGAAAGCCUGACGGAGCAACGCCGCGUGAAUGAUGAAGGUCUUCGGAUCGUAAAACUCUGUUAUUAGGGAAGAACAAAUGUGUAAGUAACUAUGCACGUCUUGACGGUACCUAAUCAGAAAGCCACGGCUAACUACGUG